This 497-nucleotide ribosomal RNA is filed under the name uncultured bacterium. Its description in RNAcentral is "partial 16S ribosomal RNA". It matches the Rfam family "Bacterial small subunit ribosomal RNA", at positions 28 to 507 of the family's 1533-position model. The record is from RNAcentral.
GAUGAACGCUGGCGGCGUGCCUAAUACAUGCAAGUCGAGCGAACGGACGAGAAGCUUGCUUCUCUGAUGUUAGCGGCGGACGGGUGAGUAACACGUGGAUAACCUACCUAUAAGACUGGGAUAACUUCGGGAAACCGUAGCUAAUACCGGAUAAUAUUUUGAACCGCAUGGUUCAAAAGUGAAAGACGGUCUUGCUGUCACUUAUAGAUGGAUCCGCGCUGCAUUAGCUAGUUGGUAAGGUAACGGCCUACCAAGGCAACGAUGCAUAGCCGACCUGAGAGGGUGAUCGGCCACACUGGAACUGAGACACGGUCCAGACUCCUACGGGAGGCAGCAGUAGGGAAUCUUCCGCAAUGGGCGAAAGCCUGACGGAGCAACGCCGCGUGAGUGAUGAAGGUCUUCGGAUCGUAAAACUCUGUUAUUAGGGAAGAACAUAUGUGUAAGUAACUGUGCACAUCUUGACGGCACCUAAUCAGAAAGCCACGGCUAACUACGUG